CCUUCGAUAGCUCAGCUGGUAGAGCGGAGGACUGUAGAUGAUUGCGCUAUGGUAAUCCUUAGGUCGCUGGUUCGAUUCCGGCUCGAAGGA
Non-coding RNA from Ornithorhynchus anatinus (platypus), 90 nucleotides. NCBI's taxonomy places the organism in Eukaryota, Metazoa, Chordata, Mammalia, Monotremata, Ornithorhynchidae. The record is from Rfam.